RNAcentral lists this ribosomal RNA (513 nucleotides) under uncultured bacterium. RNAcentral describes it as "partial 16S ribosomal RNA". It matches the Rfam family "Bacterial small subunit ribosomal RNA", at positions 28 to 523 of the family's 1533-position model. The record is from RNAcentral.
GACGAACGCUGGCGGCAUGCCUAAUACAUGCAAGUCGAGCGAACAGAUGAAGUGCUUGCACUUCUGACGUUAGCGGCGAACGGGUGAGUAACACGUAAGGAAUCUACCUAUAAGCGGGGGAUAACAUUCGGAAACGGGUGCUAAUACCGCAUAAUAUCUUCUUCCGCAUGGAAGAAGAUUGAAAGACGGCUCUGCUGUCCCUUAUAGAUGACCUUGCGGUGCAUUAGUUAGUUGGUGGGGUAACGGCCUACCAAGACGAUGAUGCAUAGCCGACCUGAGAGGGUGAUCGGCCACAUUGGGACUGAGACACGGCCCAAACUCCUACGGGAGGCAGCAGUAGGGAAUCUUCCGCAAUGGGCGAAAGCCUGACGGAGCAAUGCCGCGUGAGUGAAGAAGGCCUUCGGGUCGUAAAACUCUGUUAUAAGAGAAGAACAAAUUGUAGAGUAACUGCUACAGUCUUGACGGUACCUUAUCAGAAAGCCACGGCUAACUACGUGCCAGCCGCCGCAGUAA